ACUAAGGGUAGAGGCGCAUUGUCUAUAAGUAACUGGCAGUAGGGUGAUUCCGAUGAUAGCCAGAGAAAGGAGCCGAUGCCGAAGUGAGACAGGUCAUCAAGCCUGCUUGCUGGGGUUGUCACCGAAUAGGGGCAACACUGCCAUAGUAUAUAAUUACAUUAACUAUGGAGCGCUACUGUGGGG
RNAcentral lists this non-coding RNA (183 nucleotides) under Photobacterium marinum. RNAcentral's name for it is "Lysine sequence". It matches the Rfam family "Lysine riboswitch aptamer". Rfam says of the family: Riboswitches are metabolite binding domains within certain messenger RNAs that serve as precision sensors for their corresponding targets. Allosteric rearrangement of mRNA structure is mediated by ligand binding, and this results in modulation of gene expression. This family includes riboswitches that sense lysine in a number of genes involved in lysine metabolism, including lysC. Lineage: Bacteria; Pseudomonadati; Pseudomonadota; Gammaproteobacteria; Vibrionales; Vibrionaceae. The record is from RNAcentral.